AUUGAACGCUGGCGGCAGGCCUAACACAUGCAAGUCGAGCGGAUGAAGGGAGCUUGCUCCUGGAUUCAGCGGCGGACGGGUGAGUAAUGCCUAGGAAUCUGCCUGGUAGUGGGGGAUAACGUCCGGAAACGGGCGCUAAUACCGCAUACGUCCUGAGGGAGAAAGUGGGGGAUCUUCGGACCUCACGCUAUCAGAUGAGCCUAGGUCGGAUUAGCUAGUUGGUGGGGUAAAGGCCUACCAAGGCGACGAUCCGUAACUGGUCUGAGAGGAUGAUCAGUCGCACUGGAACUGAGACACGGUCCUGACUCCUACGGGAGGCAGCAGUGGGGAAUAUUGGACAAUGGGCGAAAGCCUGAUCCAGCCAUGCCGCGUGUGUGAAGAAGGUCUUCGGAUUGUAAAGCACUUUAAGUUGGGAGGAAGGGCAGUAAGUUAAUACCUUGCUGUUUUGACGUUACCAACAGAAUAAGCACCGGCUAACCUCGUG
RNAcentral lists this ribosomal RNA (484 nucleotides) under uncultured bacterium. RNAcentral's name for it is "partial 16S ribosomal RNA". It matches the Rfam family "Bacterial small subunit ribosomal RNA", at positions 30 to 507 of the family's 1533-position model. The record is from RNAcentral.